UACGUAGGGUGCAAGCGUUGUCCGGAAUUAUUGGGCGUAAAGAGCUCGUAGGCGGUCUGUCGCGUCUGCUGUGAAAACUCGGGGCUUAACCCCGGGCCUGCAGUGGGUACGGGCAGACUAGAGUGCGGUAGGGGAGACUGGAAUUCCUGGUGUAGCGGUGAAAUGCGCAGAUAUCAGGAGGAACACCGGUGGCGAAGGCGGGUCUCUGGGCCGUGACUGACGCUGAGGAGCGAAAGCGUGGGGAGCGAACAGG
Molecule: ribosomal RNA, 253 nt
Filed under: uncultured bacterium
Lineage: Bacteria
Description: partial 16S ribosomal RNA
Rfam family: Bacterial small subunit ribosomal RNA
Source: RNAcentral